This is a long non-coding RNA of Aricia agestis (brown argus), 146 nucleotides long. RefSeq lists it as uncharacterized. The transcript is spliced from 3 exons. NCBI's taxonomy places the organism in Eukaryota, Metazoa, Arthropoda, Insecta, Lepidoptera, Lycaenidae. The record is from RefSeq and is a predicted model, not a curated record.
UGCAGUACUGUAAAACUGGUUUUAGUGUCACGCGGACAGUUGGUAGGGAUCACUCCGCUUAGACCAAUCUGUAUGAAGCUUUAAGGAGGGUUUUAGAGUAAUGCGAACGAAUCUAUACGGACCCGUCCUCUUUACUCCUUAAAGCU